UACAGAGGGGGCAAGCGUUGUUCGGAAUUACUGGGCGUAAAGGGUUCGUAGGUGGCUCGCUAAGUCAGACGUGAAAUCCCUCAGCUUAACUGGGGAACUGCGUCUGAGACUGGCGAGCUUGAGUGCAGGAGAGGAACGCGGAAUUCCAGGUGUAGCGGUGAAAUGCGUAGAUAUCUGGAGGAACACCGGUGGCGAAGGCGGCGUUCUGGACUGCAACUGACACUGAGGAACGAAAGCCAGGGUAGCAAACGGG
This 253-nucleotide ribosomal RNA is filed under the name uncultured bacterium. RNAcentral's name for it is "partial 16S ribosomal RNA". It matches the Rfam family "Bacterial small subunit ribosomal RNA", at positions 524 to 776 of the family's 1533-position model. The record is from RNAcentral.